Molecule: ribosomal RNA, 430 nt
Filed under: Pseudomonadota bacterium
Lineage: Bacteria; Pseudomonadati; Pseudomonadota
Description: Proteobacteria bacterium partial 16S ribosomal RNA
Rfam family: Bacterial small subunit ribosomal RNA
Source: RNAcentral
UGGGGAAUAUUGGACAAUGGGGGGACCCCUGAUCCAGCCAUGCCGCGUGUGUGAAGAAGGCCUUAUGGUUGUAAAGCUCUUUAAGCGAGGAGGAGGGUACUGGUAUUAAUACUACCAGGUACUGGACGUUACUCGCAGAAUAAGCACCGGCUAACUCUGUGCCAGCAGCCGCGGUAAUACAGAGGGUGCAAGCGUUAAUCGGAAUUACUGGGCGUAAAGCGCGCGUAGGUGGUUCGUUAAGUUGAAUGUGAAAGCCCCGGGCUCAAACUGGGGAAUGCAUCAUAAAGAGGCGAGCGAGAGUAGGGGAGAGGGUGGUGGAAAUUCCUGUGUAGCGGUGAAAUGCGUGGAUAGAGGAAGGAACACCAGUGGGGAAGGCGAACACCUGGGCGCAUACAGCCACUGUGGUGCGAAAGCGUGGGGAGCAAACAGG